GACGAACGCCGUUGGCGUGCCUAAUACAUGCAAGUCGAACGCUGCUUAAGAAGAAACUUCGGUUUUUUCUUAAGCGGAGUGGCGGACGGGUGAGUAACACGUGGGGAACCUAUCCAUCAGCGGGGGAUAACACUUGGAAACAGGUGCUAAUACCGCAUACGGCUUUUUUUCACCUGAAAGAAAGCUCAAAGGCGCUUUACAGCGUCACUGAUGGCUGGCCCCGCGGUGCAUUAGCCAGUUGGUGAGGUAACGGCUCACCAAAGCAACGAUGCAUAGCCGACCUGAGAGGGUGAUCGGCCACACUGGGACUGAGACACGGCCCAGACUCCUACGGGAGGCAGCAGUAGGGAAUCUUCGGCAAUGGACGCAAGUCUGACCGAGCAACGCCGCGUGAGUGAAGAAGGUUUUCGGAUCGUAAAGCUCUGUUGUCAGCAAAGAACAGGAGAAAGAGGCAAUGCUUUUUCUAUGACGGUAGCUGACCAGAAAGCCACGGCUAACUACGUGCCAGCAGCCGCGGUAAUACGUAGGUGGCAAGCGUUGUCCGGAUCUAUUGGGCGUAAAGCGAGCGCAGGCGGUGAUUUAAGUCUGAUGUGAAAGCCCCCAGCUCAACUGGGGAGGGUCAUUGGAAACUGGAUCACUUGAGUGCAGAAGAGGAGAGUGGAAUUCCAUGUGUAGCGGUGAAAUGCGUAGAUAUAUGGAGGAACACCAGUGGCGAAGGCGGCUCUCUGGUCUGUAACUGACGCUGAGACUCGAAAGCGUGGGUAGCAAACAGGAUUAGAUACCCUGGUAGUCCACGCCGUAAACGAUGAGUGCUAAGUGUUGGAGGGUUUCCGCCCUUCAGUGCUGCAGUUAACGCAUUAAGCACUCCGCCUGGGGAGUACGACCGCAAGGUUGAAACUCAAAGGAAUUGACGGGGGCCCGCACAAG
This 927-nucleotide ribosomal RNA is filed under the name uncultured bacterium. RNAcentral's name for it is "bacterial SSU rRNA". It matches the Rfam family "Bacterial small subunit ribosomal RNA", at positions 28 to 929 of the family's 1533-position model. The record is from RNAcentral.